RNAcentral lists this ribosomal RNA (505 nucleotides) under uncultured bacterium. RNAcentral's name for it is "partial 16S ribosomal RNA". It matches the Rfam family "Bacterial small subunit ribosomal RNA", at positions 28 to 507 of the family's 1533-position model. The record is from RNAcentral.
GACGAACGCUGGCGGCGUGCCUAAUACAUGCAAGUCGAACGAACAGUUUAUACCGUAGCUUGCUACACCAUAGACUGUGAGUGGCGAACGGGUGAGUAACGCGUAGGUAACCUGCCUGGGAGCGGGGGAUAAGUAAUGGAAACGAUAGCUAAUACUGCAUAAUAUUAAUUAUUGCAGGAUAAUUAAUUGAAAGGUGUAAUUGCACCACUAACAGAUGGACCUGCGUUGUAUUAGCUAGUAGGUGAGGUAACGGGUCACCUAGGCGACGAUACAUAGCCGACCUCAGAGGCUGAGCUGCCCCGCUGGGACUGGAGCACGACCCAGACCCCUGCGAGUGGCACCCGUAGGGGAUCCUCGCCAAUGGACGAAAUUCUGACCGUUCAACGCCGCGUGAGUGAAUAAGGUUUUCGGGUCGUAUAGCUCUGUUGUAAGAGAAGAACGUGUGUGACUGUUGAAAGUUCACACUGUGACGGUACCUUACCAGAAAGCGACGGCUAACUACGUG